Molecule: unclassified non-coding RNA, 336 nt
Filed under: soil metagenome
Description: partial contains 5.8S ribosomal RNA, internal transcribed spacer 2, and large subunit ribosomal RNA
Rfam family: 5.8S ribosomal RNA (bases 1-120)
Source: RNAcentral
GAUGAAGAACGUAGUGAAAUGCGAUAAGUAAUGUGAAUUGCAGAAUUCAGUGAAUCAUCGAAUCUUUGAACGCACAUUGCGCCCGCCAGUAUUCUGGCGGGCAUGCCUGUUCGAGCGUCAUUUCAACCAUCAAGCCCCCGGCUUGUGUUGGGGACCUGCGGCUGCCGCAGGCCCUGAAAAGCAGUGGCGGGCUCGCUGUCACACCGAGCGUAGUAGCAUACAUCUCGCUCUGGGCGUGCUGCGGGUUCCGGCCGUUAAACCACCUUCAUAACCCAAGGUUGACCUCGGAUCAGGUAGGAAGACCCGCUGAACUUAAGCAUAUCAAUAAGCGGAGGA